This is a long non-coding RNA of Cebus imitator (Panamanian white-faced capuchin), 333 nucleotides long. RefSeq lists it as uncharacterized. NCBI's taxonomy places the organism in Eukaryota, Metazoa, Chordata, Mammalia, Primates, Cebidae. The transcript is spliced from 2 exons. The record is from RefSeq and is a predicted model, not a curated record.
UUGGGGUCGAGCGUACGGUGGUAACUGUGUGUUUGAUUACACCAUGUGCUACUAACCAGGGAAGAAAUGGGCUACGAACGUAUCUUUGAGGGCCGGCCGAACGCUGCAGGCUGGUCAGGUCCUCGAGCGUCCAGCCCUGGCCUACGCUCCACUUUGUCCCUGAGCGUUUAAACGUUACUUCCUGAAUCUCAGACCCACAGCUUCUUGCAGGUUUCAUCGUGAGCCGGCUGCAAAUUUUGAACCUAAGUAAACCUCAGUCCGGAGGGCCUAGUGGUAAGGUGGGCGCUGUGUUUAUCUGAAGUGCUUAGCAAUAAAACAAAGGCAGUGAGUUGA